Non-coding RNA from Paramuricea clavata, 567 nucleotides. The record is from the annotation of a GenBank genome assembly. Lineage: Eukaryota; Metazoa; Cnidaria; Anthozoa; Malacalcyonacea; Plexauridae.
UGGCGGGCUUAUUGCAAGGAAUGGCAAAUUGAUGUAAUUAAACCAGGCUUAGAGAAUGUCAUUGAGUUUCUUGUUUCACUGUACCAUUUAGGUAUAUGUUACAGUGCCAUAAACACUGCUCGUUCAGCGCUUUCUAACUUACUUAUAUUAGAUGAGGGCGUUAAAUUUGGGGAACACCCCCUAGUUAUUCGCUACAUGAAAGGCAUAUUUGAAAUAAGGCCAGCCUUACCCAAAUAUUCAGAGAUAUGGGAUGUUACUGUUGUCCUAAAUUAUUUAAAAAACGUUUGAGCAAGUUGCCUCCUUACCACUCAAGGAAUUCACAUUAAAACUAAUUACAUUACUUUGCCUCACCACUGGACAACGAGGACAGACAAUACAUAAGAUGGAUGUCAAUGGGAUUCAAACGUUACCAGACAGAUACAAAAUCAUCAUUAACGACAAGUUGAAGCAUACAAAAUCAGGAAAGCACUUGGCACCAAUUGACUUACUGGCAUUUCCAGAGGAGGAAAAGCUUUGUGUUGUCAAGACCUUGGAGGCAUAUUUGCAGAGAACCGCACAUCAUAGAAC